CUUGACGAAUGCCUGGGUGGCCUGCGUUCGUAUGAACGAACACGCAACGGCGGCCAUUUUGUUUAUCCGAAAACGCUCAUCGGUGUUUGGUUGUCGAACUCCUGGAACUGUUUUCAGCUACCAGUUUCACGAACACCGCUGAGACUUCUACCUUUCGUGCGUUCGUCUAAAUUCAUACGAACGGGGCGCUAAUUUCAGGGAAUAAACUGUCGAACAUGCUGAAUACAAUGAAGCUAUGCACGAACUGAUCUGUUCGUGCAAAUUGUACUGUAUUUGAAGGUGAAGAUAGACCGACCGCACAGCCUAAAUCUAUAGAACUCUUUUGGGCAGGAAAGCCAUGCUUGCGGCCGG
Pelobates cultripes (western spadefoot toad) is the source of this 351-nucleotide non-coding RNA. The record is from the annotation of a GenBank genome assembly. NCBI's taxonomy places the organism in Eukaryota, Metazoa, Chordata, Amphibia, Anura, Pelobatidae.